Molecule: transfer RNA, 92 nt
Filed under: Corallococcus macrosporus DSM 14697
Lineage: Bacteria; Pseudomonadati; Myxococcota; Myxococcia; Myxococcales; Myxococcaceae
Description: Myxococcus macrosporus DSM 14697 tRNA-Gly
Source: RNAcentral
GGCCCCCCUGGCGGAGUUCUCCACCGUGGUGGAGUGCCUCUCCGUGGACCGGACCGCGUCGGGGACGUGGCUGUGCGGCAGCCAGGCGCUGC